AAGGUGGAAAAAAACUUAGCAUAAAAUGAAGCAUCCCAGCCUCAAGUUUCAGCUGUGCCACUAACCAACGUAAUAAUACAGUUGAGUCAGGACUCUGGCCCUACGAGUUUCCUCAUCUCUGAAAACCUGCUAAAAAACUUCAUACUCUAUUAAAAGGAAUGCAAGGCUUCUAAAUCAGGAUUGCACAUCUAAGCCACUAUUGCACCAACUUGCGUAGCUCUAGCUACGUCAACACCUUAACUACCACUGGGGAACCGUUAAUAGCUCCUGGGCUCCUAUGUGGACUGCUGCCAGGUCUCCUCCUUCCACUGCUGCCCAGAUGACAGACCAUGUUUCCUGUCCUUUUGUCCCUCCAAGAGGAGCCAAGAACAGGUAUGGCCUUUAAAAGUCAUGUGAGUCAACAAGUAGACUUGAACUAAGAUUCCACAUCAUGCACUUUGCACCCAGCUAUCAUUUGUAAAUAUUUACACAUCGCUCGACAUUCUGGUAUUGGGCAGCCAAAGCCAAAGAAGAUACCAACAAAGUGAAUUAAAUAUGAGAAGCUGACAAAAGAUUAUAGUUAUCAUUAAUAACUUUGGAUUUCAAAAACUUUUUAGUUUGUCAGAGCAUUAUGUCUCUAGUUGUAUAAAGUUAUAUAUUUGAACUUCUCAAAAAUAUGAAAAAAUUAUUUUCUAAUAAAAUUGCCCUUUAACUUCUUGUA
Non-coding RNA from Manis javanica (Malayan pangolin), 700 nucleotides. Lineage: Eukaryota; Metazoa; Chordata; Mammalia; Pholidota; Manidae. The record is from RefSeq and is a predicted model, not a curated record.